GUCUCCAUGGCGCAAUUGGUUAGCGCGUCUGACUGUUACGCCCAUUAGAAAUCAGGAGGUUGGCAGUUCAAUCCUGCCUGGGGACG
This is a non-coding RNA of Melampsora americana, 86 nucleotides long. Lineage: Eukaryota; Fungi; Basidiomycota; Pucciniomycetes; Pucciniales; Melampsoraceae. The record is from the annotation of a GenBank genome assembly.